Molecule: ribosomal RNA, 497 nt
Filed under: uncultured bacterium
Lineage: Bacteria
Description: partial 16S ribosomal RNA
Rfam family: Bacterial small subunit ribosomal RNA
Source: RNAcentral
GAUGAACGCUGGCGGCGUGCCUAAUACAUGCCAGUCGAGCGAACAGACGAGGAGCUUGCUCCUCUGACGUUAGCGGCGGACGGGUGAGUAACACGUGGAUAACCUACCUAUAAGACUGGGAUAACUUCGGGAAACCGGAGCUAAUACCGGAUAAUAUAUUGAACCGCAUGGUUCAAUAGUGAAAGACGGUUUUGCUGUCACUUAUAGAUGGAUCCACGCCGCAUUAGCUAGUUGGUAAGGUAACGGCUUACCAAGGCAACGAUGCGUAGCCGACCUGAGAGGGUGAUCGGCCACACUGGAACUGAGACACGGUCCAGACUCCUACGGGAGGCAGCAGUAGGGAAUCUUCCGCAAUGGGCGAAAGCCUGACGGAGCAACGCCGCGUGAGUGAUGAAGGUCUUCGGAUCGUAAAACUCUGUUAUUAGGGAAGAACAAAUGUGUAAGUAACUAUGCACGUCUUGACGGUACCUAAUCAGAAAGCCACGGCUAACUACGUG